Molecule: microRNA precursor, 202 nt
Filed under: Medicago truncatula (barrel medic)
Lineage: Eukaryota; Viridiplantae; Streptophyta; Magnoliopsida; Fabales; Fabaceae
Description: MIR2619 microRNA precursor family
Rfam family: MIR2619 microRNA precursor family
Source: Rfam by way of RNAcentral
AAACAGCCCCCUAUGUAUCGGAUUUUUGGCAAUUUUGGCCCCCAAAGCCACUUUUGACUUAAUCUUCGCUGACGUGGCACUCACAUCCCUUAAGCGAGGCGGCACAUGUCGACCAUUGUGGGUGUCACGUCAGCGAAGACUAAGUCAAAAGCGGCCUUGGGGGCCAAAACUGCCAAAGGUCCAAUACAUAGGGGGGCUGUUU